UAGAGCCAUAUACAGCACCCAGCAUUUAUUCUUGCUUCGUUUAGGUUUACAAUACAUGGAAGCUAACAUUAUUAUUAAGAAAACUUCUGUUUUUCCAGGGCCUUAGAAAGCUUUUCCAAUACUCGAUCGUUUAAGCUUACGGUUUUUUGUUUUUUUGUUUUGUUUUUUUAAGAAAAAUGAGGGUCUCACUUUGUUGCUCAGGCUGAUCUCGAGCUCCUGGCCUCAAGUGAUCCUCCCGCUUUUGGCCUCCCAAACUGAUGGGAUUACAACGUGGAGCCACCGUGUUAAACUCUUAGAUUUGACUGCUACAAAGGUAUAAAUGUGGAACUCCAUAUAUCAGUGGGUUCUGCCCCACUUCUUCCUCCCAGGAAUUCUCCAUCCCAGCCUGCUGCUCCUGUCUUGCACCGGGGAACAAACAUGUAUCCUGGAUGAAAAUAAACCAAGUCUAUUGAAACUGCAACCCAAGACAUUCAGAAGAGACAAGGCUACAGUGAAUCUGGAAACUUUGCACGUGUUUGGAUGUAUUGAUUGCCUUAACUGGCAGCCCUUUGCACUGCCAGCUUCCCUCAAUUACAUGAGGAACCACGAGGGGGCAAUGUCUUCCCGAGCAAUAAUAGCUGAGUGGUGGUCUUAGGACCCCGUGGUGGCCCAUGAUGCUAGCACCGUGUCUUUGGCCAUUCUUGCCUGUCAUGGAGCAUACUCCACAGAAGGGCAUGGUCUUCUUGGAGCCUGGCAUGGGCCCAACAAAAAUGACAAUGUAGUCAAUAGUUCCACUCAGACCUCACUUAGGAGCAGGUGGACUAUGUUGUGUGAUAUCAGGAUGCCCGGAGAACCUCUCCUAUCCCCACCCAGGGAAGCAUGGCUUAAUUCCAAAUAAAGAAUCUGAUUUCUUUGUCUUUAAGCCAAGCCAGGACUUUGUCCAUUGUUAAAAGUCAAAAAUCUCUGGGAUAAGAAACAAAAAUAAGUUCCAGGUGGGGCACGGUGGCUCAUGCCUGUAAUCCCAGCACUUUGGGAGGCCGAGGUGAGCCCAACACCUGAUGUCAGGAGUUCAAGACCAGCCUGGCUAACAUGGUGAAACCCCGUUUCUACUAAAAAUACAAAAAAUUAGCUGGGUGUGGUGGCGCACGCCUAUAAUAGCAGCUACUUGGGAGGCUGAGGCAGGAGAAUUGCUUGAACCCGGGAGGCAGAGGUUGCAGUUAGCUGAGAUUGCACCAUUGCACUCCAGCUUGGGCAACAAGAGUGAAACUCUGUCACAAACAAAAAUAAGUUCCAGGAGAGGAUCCUUGUCUGGCUUAUUCACUGUUGUAUUCCCAGCAUCUAGACAGUGCCCAACACAUAGGAGGCACUCAGUUAUUUUUUAAUAAAUGAGCAUUUUAAGUCUGAUGGGUUACUGAUUCUCAGGCCUGAAUGUUAUUACUGGAUUUUUCCAAGAUCCAGCAGGAAGGAGUAAAUCAGUGGAGAUGUCUUAGAACAGAUAGUCACAGCAAUGGCAUUAGGCAGGGUCUUGGCAGUGUUUUUUUUGUUUUGUUUUUUGUUUUCUGAGUCUCGCUCUGUGGCCCAGGUGACAUUGUUUAAGCAAAUGUCUCGCCCAGGUGAGAACUGUUCAAGCAAUUCUCCUGCAUCAGCUUCCUCAGUAGCUGGGACUACAGGUGCACACAACCACACCUGGCUAAUGUUUUUGUAUUUUUAGUAGAGACAGAGUUUCCUCAUGUUGGCCAGGCUGGUUGGUAUUGAACUCCCAAACUCAGGUGAUCCACCCACCUCAGCCUCCCAAAAUGCUGGGAUUACAGGCAUGAGCCACCAGCCUGGCAGUGGUCUUUAGUCAUGAUUUUGCAGGGGGGACCCUAGAUAGAGACCUUGUGCAGAAUGGAACAACUGAUAAGGUUUCAAACAGUAAAAGAUAAAAUCCCACCAUUGAGGCUGGGCACAGUGCCUCAUGCCUGUAAUCCUAGCACUUUGGGAGGCCAAGGUGGGCAGAUCACCUGAGGUCAGGAGUUUGAGACCAGCCUGGCAUGGUGAAACCCCAUUUUUGAAAAUACAAAAAUUAGCCAGGCGUGGUGGUGGGUGCCUGUAGUCCCAGCUACUCGGGAGGCUGAGGCAGGAGAAUUGCUUGAACCCGAGAGGCAGAGAUUGCUGUGAACCAAGAUCACACCACUGCACUCCAGCCUGGGCGACAGAGCGAGACUCCAUCUCAAAAAAAAAAAAAAAAAAAAAAAAUCACACCAUUGAAUUUGACAUAUCAGACAAUAAAAUCGACACUGAUGCAGGGAUGGUUAUACUAUAUAGUCAGUGGUGAGAGUGACAUUUAGGGUGUUUUCAGAAAAACAUAUGGGGUUGGGAUAAUAUGUCAAGAAAAGAGAGAUUCCUGCUUUUUGUCCUUUUCAUGAAGAAUAGUUUAGAGUUAUUUGAAAGAGCAAUAAUGUAUUACCAAUAAAACUCAAGGAAAAUCUGUAAACAGACUUUUGCUAUUUAUAAAACUUUGUGAUUGAAGGCAAAGAGUUUGAGUUUGUGUGGGGGAGGAAAAUGUACCUUCAAUCGGUAUAAAUGAUAAUUACAGCUUGUUUAUGACUUUAAAGAAAGAUUCCAAAGUAAUAUCUCCUCAGUAGCAAUAGUUCCCAGGCAUCCUGAGAAUUAUAAGACCACAAAGGGAUUUUUUUUUUGAGACGGAAUUUCGCUGUAACCAAGGGAUUUUAAAUCCUGGAAUAGUUGUGCUGAAGACCAGAAAAGUCUGCUUUCUCCCCAGCCUAACACUACCUACCAUAUUGCCUGACCUUGGAGGUUACCUUGAAAGGGUAAUAUUGUAUACACCUGUAGUUUUUUACUACUCACUGCUGUUUCUCUGGCAGUGUUCAUUUAGAGGCUUGCCAUAAGAAAUCCAAACCUAUAAUUAUGUCUUAAAUGUUUGCCUUUGGGAACUGCAGACAUUAAAGGUCUAUUUUGAGGCGAUUUGCAUGGCAUGGGCUUUGUACCUAUGUUAGCUUUGCAGCAGAAAGCUGCAGUAUCUACCAUGUGUGUUGUGAUUGUCUAUUAACCCUUCGGCUGAGCCAAAGAAGUUAUUGAGGCCAGAGGGGCUGUAUUUUAUUGGUUUUUGUCAUCCUUGACACCUCUCUCUCCCUUAACCUCGUGCCUGCUCACCUCCAGCUCCUCUCCAUCUUCCCCUGAUUUUUUUAUUAAUUUAUCAUUGUGGCAAAAGACACAUAACAUAAAAUUUACCUUCUUAACCACUUUGGUUUUUUGGGGUUUUUUUUGAGAUGGAGUGUUGCUCUGUUGCCCAGGCUGGAGUGCAAUGGUGCCAUCUUGGCUCACCACAACCUCCACCUCCCAGGUUCAAGAGAUUCUCCUGCUUCAGCCUCCUGAGUAGCUGGAACUACAGGCAUGUGCCACCAUGUCCAGCUAAUUUUUGUAUUUUUAGUAGAGAUGAGGUUUCACUAUGUUGACCAGGCUGGGUUUUCUUUUUUUCUUUUCUUUUUUUUUUUUUUAGAGAUGGGCCUUCACUGUGUUGCCCAGGCUGGUCUCAGACUCCUGGGUUCAAGUGAUCCUCCCACCUCAGCCUCAGGCUGGAGUACAGUAGCAUGAUCAUAACUCACUGCAGCCUCGAACUCCUGGGUCCAAGCAAUCUUCCUGCCUCGGCUUCCCGAACAGCUGGGACUGCAGACUCUUGCCACCACACCCAGAUAAUUUUUAAAUUUUUUUCCCAGGCUGGUCUCAAACUCCUGCCUUCAAGCAAUCCUCCUGCCUCAGCCUCCCAAAGUGCUGAGAUUACAGGCAUAAACCAUUUCACCUAAGCCUUCCAUUUGAACCAUUUUUAAGUGUAGUGUUAAGUGUAUUCACAUGGUUGUGCCACAGCCCCCUGACUUUUACCUCCUAAAGAAUUCUGAGGUUCACUGGCUUCCCUCUGAUCAUGAUCAGAGGCCCACAUGGAGGAGAAUCCAGGUGUUUGGCUUACAGCCCCAGCUGAGCUCUGCAGACAACCAGUAUCAAUUUGCCAGCCCUCUGAGUGAACUAUCUUGAGAGUGGUUGCUCCAGCCCUAGUUGAGCUGCCGCAGCUGAUACCAUCUGGAAGAGAGAUGAGCUUUCUGCAGCAAACCCUGCCCAAAUUGCAAAAUUGUUAGCAAAAAAAAAAGUGAAUGCUGUUGUUUUAAGUCACCACAUUUCAGUGUGGUUUGUAAUACAGCAAUAUAUAACUGAAACAUAAUUACAUACCUAGAAGUGGGAUAAUAGAAAUCAACAGGGUGAUUCCUACUGUAAUAGAAACCUAAAACACAUGGCAGGGGCUUUGGGAUCAAGUGGAGGAUGGAAGCUGGAAGAACCUUGAGGAGUCUGUUAUUGACAAAUACUAUUAGAGAACAGUGAGUGGGGCUGGGCGUGGUGGCUCACACCUAUAAUCCCAGCACUUUGGGAGGCAGAGGUGGGCCGAUCACCUGAGGUCAGGAAUUCGAGACCAGCCUGGUCAACAUGGUGAAACCCUGUCUCUACUAAAAAUACCAAAAUUAGCCAGGCGUGGUGACGCGUGCCUGUAAUCCUAGCUACUGGGGAGGCUGAGGCAGGAGAAUUGCUUGAACCCAGGAGGCGGAAGUUGCAGUGAGCCACGAUCGCGCCACUGCCCUCCAGCCUGGGUGACAGAGAGAGACUCUGUCUCAAAAUAAAAUAAAAUAAAGAACAGUGAGGAUACUGUUAUUGCUGGCUGGAGAAAAGGGGGAUUGAUUUAGGUAUUGGAAAAACAAUUAGCUAAACUACUCUGCAGUUAUGUGAAAGCUAGAGAAGGUACCUAGUGAACAUGUGGAUCUGGCUAUGGAGAUUUCUGGAUAGAAUGGUGAAAGGGUGGAAUGGUUCCUUUUGCAUGCCUGUGAUAUAGUACCAGAGAAGUGCAGUGAGCUAAAAAAGAAACUGUUCCAUUUUUCAUCAGAAUUUAGAAGAAGUAAUUAAAGAAGCCAGGACUUGCAGGAUUUGAAAUAAAACUACUUUUCAUUCCUAGUUCUCCAGAGGACAAAACUCUCAAAAUAAGAAAUGGCCUAGGGGCAAAAGUCAAAUCCCAGGUACUAUCAGGAAAACAUAGUCAUAAGUAAAGUUCAAGACAACGACAGGUGCAGCAGCUCACACCUGCAAUCCCAGUGCUUUGGGAAGCCAAGGUGGGAGGAUUACUUGAGGCCAAGAGUUUGGGAUCAACUUGGGCAACAUAGCAAGACUCCUCUGCAAAAAAAAAAGAAAAAAAGAAAGAAAAAAAUUUUUUUGAGACAGAAUCUCGUUCUGUCACCUGGUUGGGGUGCAGUGGCAUGAUCAUGGCUCACUAAAACCUCUGUCUCCUGGGUUCAAGCAAUUCUCAUGCCUCAGCCUCCCAGGUAGCUGGGAUUAUAGGUACACACCACCACGCUUGGCUAAUUUUUGUAUUUUUAGUAAAGAUGAGGUUUCACCAUGUUAGCCGGGCUGGUCUCAAACUCCUGGCCUUAAGUGAUCUGCCCACCUUAGCCUCCCAAAGUGCUGGGAUUACAGGUAUGAGCCACCAAAUCUGGCCUCUGCAAAAAAUUUAAAAAUUAGCUGAACAUAGUGGCACAUGCCUAUAAUUCCAGCUAUUUUGGAGGCUGAGGCAGGAAGAUCACUUGAGCCCAGGAGUUUGAGGGUACAGUGAAUUAUGAUCAUGCCACUGCACUACAGCUUGGGCAACAGAGCAAGAACCUGACUCUAAAAAAAAAAAAAAAAUGCCCAGGUGUGGUGGCUCAUGCCUGUAAUCCCAGCACUUUGGGAGGCUGAGGUGGGCAGAUCACGAGGUCAGAAGAUCGAGACCAUCCUGGCUAACAUGGUGAAACCCCGUCUUUACUAAAAAAAAAUACAAAAAAACUAGCCAGGCGUGGUGGUGGGCACCUGUAGUCCCAGCUACUCAGGAGGCUGAGGCAGGAGAAUGACAUGAACCUGGGAGGCGGAACUUGCGGUAAGCCGAGAUGGCGCCACUGCACUCCAGACUGGGGUACAGAGAGAGACUCCGUCUCGGGGGGAAAAAAAAAGAUAAGGAUGUAGCUAGAAGACACUGGGUAGGCAGCUUCUACAAUGGACCCCAGUGAUCCUUCUCUCCCGGUAUUCAAACCCUCUGUAAUCCCUUCCUUCAUGUGGGCUGGACUUUGCAACUUGCUCUUAAGGAAUACAGUGUGGCAAAAGUGAUGGAUAGCACCUCCAAGACUAGAUUUAAAAAGAGACGAUGGCUCAUGUCUUACAUGCCCUCUCUUGCUCUCUCACUUGCUGCCUUUGACCUGCCUUAUGGAGACGCUCAUGUGGCAAGGAACGAAGGCCUCCAGCCAAGAGCCACCAAGGAACUGGUUUUCAGUCCAACAACCAGCAAGGAGCUGAAUCCUGCCAACUACUGCAUGAGUAGACCUGGAAAUAGAGUUUCCCUAAGUGGAGCCUUCACGUGAAACCUAUUAUGGACUGAAUGCUAGUGUCCCUCUGAAAUUCACAUAAAAUCCUAACCUCCAUUGUGAUAGUAUUAGGUAAGGCAUUUGGGAGGUAAUUAGGUUUAGAUGAGGUCACAAGUGUGGGGCCCCCAUAAUGGGGUUGGUGCCCUUAUAAGAGGAGGAAGAGGCUGGGUGUGGUGGCUGACGCCUGGAAUCCCAACACUUCGGGAGGCCAAGGCAGGAGGAUUGCUUGAAGCCAAGAGUUUGAGACCAGCCUGGACAACACAGUGAGACACCCAUUUCUAUGAAUAAAUAAAUAAAUUAGCCAGGCACGUGGCUCACUCCUGUCAUCCCAACACUUUGGGAGGCCAAGGCAGGAGAUUUCCUUGGGACCAGGAGUUCAAGAUCAGCCUGGGCAACAUAGUGGGACCCUGUCUCUACAGAAAAAUUAGCCAGGCAUAUUGGUGUGAGUCUGUAGUCCCAACUACUACUCCCAAAGCUGAGGAAUAAGGAUUGUUUUAGCCUAGGAGUUCAAGGUUACAGUGAACUAUAAUUGUACCACUGUACUCCAGCCUGGGAGACAGCAAAACCCGGUUUGUGUGUGUGUGUGUGUGUGUGUGUGUGUGUGUGUGUGUGACGAGAACCAAAGCUCCUUCUCUCCCUGCCAUGUGAGGACACAGUGAGAAGGUGGCUGACUGCAAGCCAGGAAGAGGGUCCUCAUGAGGAAAUGAAUUGACUGGCACCUUGAUCUUGUGGCACCUUGAUCUUGGACUUCCCAGCCUCCAUAACUGUCAGAAAUAAAUGUCUGUUGUUUUA
Pan troglodytes (chimpanzee) is the source of this 7199-nucleotide long non-coding RNA. RefSeq lists it as uncharacterized. The transcript has 2 exons. The record is from RefSeq and is a predicted model, not a curated record. NCBI's taxonomy places the organism in Eukaryota, Metazoa, Chordata, Mammalia, Primates, Hominidae.